AUUGAACGCUGGCGGAAUGUUUUACACAUGCAAGUCGAACGGCAGCACGGACUUCGGUCUGGUGGCGAGUGGCGAACGGGUGAGUAAUGUAUCGGAACGUGCCCAGUCGUGGGGGAUAACGUAGUGAAAAUUACGCUAAUACCGCAUACGAUCUCUGGAUGAAAGCGGGGGAUCGCAAGACCUCGCGCGAUUGGAGCGGCCGAUAUCAGAUUAGGUAGUUGGUGGGGUAAAGGCCCACCAAGCCAACGAUCUGUAGCUGGUCUGAGAGGACGACCAGCCACACUGGAACUGAGACACGGUCCAGACUCCUACGGGAGGCAGCAGUGGGGAAUUUUGGACAAUGGGCGAAAGCCUGAUCCAGCCAUUCCGCGUGCAGGAUGAAGGCCCUCGGGUUGUAAACUGCUUUUGUACAGAACGAAAAGGUUUCUACUAAUACUAGGAGCUCAUGACGGUACUGUAAGAAUAAGCACCGGCUAACUACGUGCCAGCCGCCGCAGUAA
This 500-nucleotide ribosomal RNA is filed under the name uncultured bacterium. RNAcentral describes it as "partial 16S ribosomal RNA". It matches the Rfam family "Bacterial small subunit ribosomal RNA", at positions 30 to 523 of the family's 1533-position model. The record is from RNAcentral.